AAUAAAUACACUUUUAGCACGGUUCAUAUCUAACGUUUGACCGUUCGUCUUAUUUGAAAAAAAUUAUGAUUAGUAUUUUUAUUGUUAUUACAUGAUAAAACAUGAGUAGUACUUUACGUGUGACUAUUUUUUUUAAAAAAAAUUCAUAAAAAUUUUAAAUAAGAUGGACGGUCAAAACGUUAAACACGGAUAUCUAUGGCUGCACUUAUU
Oryza glaberrima (African rice) is the source of this 210-nucleotide non-coding RNA. Lineage: Eukaryota; Viridiplantae; Streptophyta; Magnoliopsida; Poales; Poaceae. The record is from Rfam.